Molecule: non-coding RNA, 80 nt
Organism: Tuber borchii (whitish truffle)
Lineage: Eukaryota; Fungi; Ascomycota; Pezizomycetes; Pezizales; Tuberaceae
Source: the annotation of a GenBank genome assembly
ACCCGGCUGGCGCAAUGGUAGCGCGUCAGACUUCUACCCCGGAAAUCUGAAGGUCGUGGGUUCGACCCCCACGUUGGGUU